RNAcentral lists this ribosomal RNA (253 nucleotides) under uncultured bacterium. RNAcentral describes it as "partial 16S ribosomal RNA". It matches the Rfam family "Bacterial small subunit ribosomal RNA", at positions 524 to 776 of the family's 1533-position model. The record is from RNAcentral.
UACGUAGGGUGCAGGCGUUAAUCGGAAUUACUGGGCGUAAAGCGUGCGCAGGCGGUCUCUUAAGACAGGUGUGAAAUCCCCGGGCUUAACCUGGGAACUGCGCUUGUAACUGAGAGGCUUGAGUGUGCCAGAGGGGGGUGGAAUUCCACGUGUAGCAGUGAAAUGCGUAGAGAUCUGGAGGAACACCGAUGGCGAAGGCAGCCCCCUGGGCUAACACUGACGCUCAUGCACGAAAGCGUGGGGAGCAAACAGG